This 391-nucleotide transfer RNA is filed under the name uncultured Colwelliaceae bacterium. RNAcentral's name for it is "partial 16S-23S ribosomal RNA intergenic spacer". The stretch from base 94 to 166 matches the Rfam family "tRNA". Lineage: Bacteria; Pseudomonadati; Pseudomonadota; Gammaproteobacteria; Alteromonadales; Colwelliaceae. The record is from RNAcentral.
CCUCCUUAUCUUGAAGUAAAACGUUUUAAUGAAAGCCUUGGCUUUGCGAGUGUUCACACAAAUUACAUGAUAACAAUUAAAGAUAACCCUGAUGGGGCUAUAGCUCAGCUGGGAGAGCGCCUGCCUUGCACGCAGGAGGUCAGCAGUUCGAUCCUGCUUAGCUCCACCAUCAUUUAUCAUAUAAAGAAAGAAACCAAACUUAACGCAUCAAUGAUUGAUGGUUUAAGUUUGGUUUUUUAAACCAAGUUUCUAACCGAGUGCGCGUUAAUCACUACUUCUUUAACAAUCUGGAAAGCUGAUAUAAAUAUCGGUAUUUAUAUAACAAACACGGUGUCGCGCUGUUGUUUGUAAUAUUAUAAAUACCAAGCUGUUAGUACAUUCUCUUAUCGUG